CCCCAGUGAGGAGCUGCGAGCGGCUGGAGAUUGUUGGUGGUCGGCGAGGCAGAGGGAGGCCUAAGAAGUAUUUGGGAGAGGUGAUUAGGCAGGACAUGACUAGAAUGCAGGUUUCCGAGGACAUUACCCUUGAUAGGAAAGUCUGGAGGUCUAGAAUCAGGGUUGUAGGAUAGGGGCUCCUAGAGUUUUUCGUACGCCUCAU
RNAcentral lists this long non-coding RNA (202 nucleotides) under Nicotiana benthamiana. RNAcentral's name for it is "long non-coding RNA (NBEN_LNC021038)". The record is from RNAcentral. Lineage: Eukaryota; Viridiplantae; Streptophyta; Magnoliopsida; Solanales; Solanaceae.